CCCCUGAGCUUUAGCUUGUUCCGAACUUGCUUCGGAACAAGCGAAUGAAUCAGAGGUUUCCUAAACCGUUGGUCGCAUGUUCGAUUCAUGCCGGGGGCG
Molecule: transfer RNA, 99 nt
Filed under: bacterium
Lineage: Bacteria
Description: tRNA-Arg
Source: RNAcentral